ACCUUUAUGUCUAGCUCAGGGAUUGUAAACGCACCAGUCAGAGCCCUGUCAAAACAGACCACUCGGCUCUACCAAUCAGCAGGACGUGAGUGGAGCCAGAUAAGAAAAUAAAAGCAGGCUGCCGGAGCCAGCAGUGGCAACCCGCUCGGGUCCCCUUCCACACCGUGGAAGCUUUGUUCUUUCGUUCUUUGCGAUAAAUCUUGCUACUGCUCACUCUUUGGGUGCACGCUGCCUUAAGAGCUGUAACACUCACCGCGAAGGUCUGCAGCUUCACUCCUGAAGCCGGCGAGACCACGAGCCCACCAGGAGGAACGAACAACUCCAGACGCGGUGCCUUAAGAGCUGUAACACUCACCGCAAAGGUCUGCAGCUUCACUCCUAAAGCCAGCGAGACCACGAGCCCACCAGAAGUAAGAAACUCCGAACAUCAGAAGGAACAAACUCCAGACGCGCCACCUUAAGAGCUGUAACACUCACCGCGAGUGUUCGCAGCUUCAUUCUUGAAGUCAGUGAGACCAAGAACCCACCAAUUCCAGACACACGUGGACUUAAUUUAAGCUCCAAGACAUUGUCAUGUCCUCUGUAAGAUAAGAUCCCCAUAUUCCCUACAUAUUUUUCACAAAAUUUUCAUUAUACAUUUAUGUAUAAUGAGAUGUUACAUUUUCUUAGUAGUAAAGCAGUUCCUCAAAAAAAAAGUACCAUGUGAUUCAGCAAUUUCACUUCUGGCUAUACAGCCAAUAUAAGUGAAAUCAUGGCCUCAAAUAGUUGCUUAUACACCUGUGUUCAGAGCAGCACUAUUCUCAAUAACCAAAAGGUAGAAGCAACCCCAAUAUCAAUCAGCAGAUGACUGGACAAGCAAAAUGUGGUAUAUGCAUAUAAUGCAAUAUUAUCCAGCUUAAAAAGUGAGGAAAUUCUGACACAUGCUAAAAUACGAAUUAAUCUUGAAGACAUUAUGCUAAAUAAAAUCACAGAAAGACAAAUAUUACACGUUUCUACUUAUGUGAGGUACCUAAAUUGUACAAAUUCAUAGAGACAAAACAGAUUGGUGGCUGCCAGGGGUUGGGAAGAGAGGAGGUUGGGGAAAUAAUGUUUAAUGGGUACAGUUUCAGUAGGGGAAGAUGGAAUAGUUCUGAAGAUGGAUGGUGGUGGUGAUUACACACAGUGUGAAUGUACUUAAUUCCACAAUGCUGUACACUUAGAAAUGGAUUAAAGAGCAAAUUUUAAGUUAUAUGUAUUUUACCACAUAAAAAAGAGAUUAAAAAAUAGUUCAGUAAGUUCUUGGCUAGUAAGUUAAACAAAAGAUCAGAGGAAUAAAACAACUUGGCAGGAACCUUAUGAAAAGGAUUCUGCUACUGAAAUGGUUAAAUUUAAUAACUCUUAGGUGGUAAGAAAAUGACCCUGUGUCUAUGUAUUAAUUCUUAUUACUGAUAUAUCCACUGGCCUCUUUCUCAUUUCUCCUUGCAUGUGAAAAAAGUUUUUCUAAUCCAUGCCCCAAAUUGAACUCUUGAUCUCUUUUAUAAAACACCACAAAAAGUUGUUCUUGCUGCAUUACAUUCAGUCUCAGUGAGUGACAACUCCAUCAUUCUGACUGAUCAUGCCAAAAUGUUGGAGGCAUCUCAGUUUCCCCUUUCUCUCCCAUGAUAUAUCCAGUCGUACAAGAAAAUUUACAGAUUCUAUUUUCUAAAUUAUCCAGGAUUCGAUCACUUCUACCCUGUUCCAAAAUGACUUCCUUUCUAGGUGGCAAGCUUUUAUUUGUUUGUUUGUUUGUUUAAUAGCUUUCUACCUGAUUUCAUUAUUUUCUUCCUUGGUGAAAGGCUUUUUUCACUACAUCAUCCAGGGAAGUUAUGUUACAUAAAUCAGAUCAUGUUCCUUCACUACUGAAACUUCAGUUGAUUCCCUUUCUACUUUUAGUAAAAUCCAGUCAUUCCUUAGUCACUCCACCCAUGCCACAUUGACCUCAUUUUAUUCAAAUAAACCAAGUACCUUACUACCUCAGGAGCUUUGCACUCAUGUCCUAUAACUGUUUGCCCUCAAAUAUGAGUUUCAUGACUAAUUUGCUUACUUUCUUUAGAUCUUUAUUCAAAUUUUACCUUUUUAAUGAUGUCUUCACUGAAUAUUUUUUAUUGCAAUUUCCUCCCCCUGUAUAUCUAUCAGUCUUCUCUGCUGUACUUUUCUUAGUAAUAUUUAUUAGCAUCUCACAUACUAUGUUACUUCUGUAUUUUAUUUAUUGGUACUCCCAUACUCAGUUAUAAAUUUGAUAAGGGUAGGAUUUUUUCUCUGAUGUCUAAAACAAUUCAUAACAUGUAGUAAACCACCCAACAUUUUUUAAGUUAAAUGAAUAACAUAUCUUUACUUUAUGACUAAGGAGUAUGUUAAUGGCCUAAUGGGUAAAAUUUCAUAGAAGCAAGAAAUCUCACUCAAAGUCUGAAGUAAUUCAAUACGUUAGUCACUGGUGUCUGCUACUUGGGAAUGGAAAAAAGAUUAGUGUGGGUCAGGUAGCACAGUCUAUUGCAUUUGGAAUUAGCUCUGCAAGAUCCCAUGUAGUUUGUGUUACUUUUUUAAAAAUAAAUUGAUGAGCACCUUAAAAAAAACUUAGAUUCAGGGACCAAUACUGAUAAUAUAUGUUUUGAUGACAGUAUUAAAAAUAAAUGAGUUAUCAGAGAGUGUAAGCAUUUAUGAAACACUUGCUAUGUAUCGGAUACUCUCCUGGGCCCUUUAGACAUCAUUUUCACAUGCUAUUUUAUUCAGUUCUAAUCAGUAUACCACAAAGUGUGUAUUUCUAUUGGCAUAUUUUCAAAUGUGAAACUUGAGGAUUAUAGAAUAAGAAUCAUUUGUCAAAUCCCAUAAAAUGAGUAUCUUGUAGAGUUGACAUACCUUGUGUCAUCUCUCUGACUGUAAAUAGCUUUUUUUUUUUUAUCCUCCCAGUAUCUUAUAGUAGAGAACAUGUGUCCCCUGGAAAUUAAUUAAAUAUUAGCAGAAAUAAAUGUGAUCAAUUUUAAAUGUAGCUUCAAUUCCUAAACAUCUGUUUUCAGAACUCUUCUCUGUUAAACCAUGGAAAGAUCUAUUUCCUUCUUUUCAUAAGUCUUCGGUCAAGCCGUGAAAACUAAAAUCAAUGUACUGAUUCAACCAGUAUGGUCUUUUUAAGUUUUAUUGGAUUUUUGUUUGUCUUUAGUUCUUUUAUUUUUUGCAGUUUUAAUCUGUGCACAGAGAACAUCUUUUCUAUUCCUUGUUGCUGUUAAUAGCAGAGCAGCAUUUUUUUCUUAGUCACCAUUUCUUCCUGCAUACAGAACCAUUACCCUCUGUCUACUUCUAUCACCCUGAAAUCUUCUAUCUUACUUUUCAGAUCUUUUUUGCUAUACCUCUUUCAAGAAAUCAGGUAUUAAAAAUAAAUAAUUAUUAUCUGAUAUUCAACCUAUUUUUAACACCUCAUUUAUUUUUGAUACUUGAUUUUUUGAAAAAGCAUAACAUUAAGGAAGUAAGGUAUCUUAAUAUAAAUCUUUCACAACUGAAUAGGUUCAUUUUUAUAAACUAGCACUUGUUUUUCAUUUUAUACUAUACUCAAUUUAUUUAGAUCUGUUAAUUGCCUCUGAAUAGUAUGUGAAAACUGUCAUCAUUCAGCUUGGGAAAAAUAUCCUCAUAAUGAAGUUAUUUACAGCUAUGUCUGCCAUUAGUGUCAUUAGUGCCACUAAUAGAAAAUAAGAAAAUUGGAAUGGCAAAGGUUAGACAUAUAAUUGAUUUCUUUCUUCUGAUACUUAAUUGCAAGUGCUAAAACUUCCUAGAUGUUAAAUUGACUGAAAAAAAAAAAAAAAUGAUAGAAGCAGAUGUAUGUUGCAGGGGUAGAGGGUUCACUGUAUUUGAUAUUUAUAUAGCCCUGUGAGUGACUCAAUUCAACUUUCCUGGCUUAGGGGAAAAGGGUUAAUGUUUGACCUGACCGGUGAGUCCCAAUGAUAAGAGGUCAGGAAGAACUCUUUACUGGGGAUUUAGGAGGUUAUAGAAUAAUGAAGGAUGCAGCUAUGAGUCCAGCAAAUUGUGAAUGUAAACAGAGGGCAUUUUAGGGAAAUUAUUUAGUGUAAGUUUUUCUACCAUGGUGGAUGCGAUAUGAAAUAGACGCAAGACAAAUCCUAAUCCAAAAUUUACCUUAAAAUAAAUAUAUAGCUAUAACUUACAUUAAAGAAUCUAACAACUUAAUUUUACCAUUCACACAUUUAAUAAGUAUACAUUCAGAAAUGUACUUUUCAGUGAACUGUAGGAAUACAAAUGUGAAUCAAAUUAGUCAAGGAUUAGGCCCUGAAAAUUGAAUUAUCACAUGUUAAGUGUGCACAAAUAUUUAAGCACAAAGUAGAAAAUGAUAUAUUUUUAAAAGAGGUCUCCCCCAAAAACAAGCAGUAAAAGAAAGGGGAUAAUUUUUAUCAGUUGCGGAAGCUUUAGGGAGAAGUAGCAACUAAACUGAAUCUUGAACAGUUUGAUAAAGGCAACUAAGUAGAUGAACAGCAUAAAGAAUAAUGAAAACAACAAAUUCAUUGUUAUUUUAGAACAAUAAUCACAGGGUCAGAGCUGUAUUCAUGGAAAAAUACAUGACAAGGGAGAACCCUUAGGUAAAGUCACUAAUGAAAAUGCAGUUUAAUCGAGACGUGAGGAAUGGCAAGUGUACAAGGCAUAUGCAUUUGCAGCACAAAGAGAAUCACAAAAGAAAAUGAGAUUUCUGUCCCAGAGAUACUUAGGUGGCAAUUUCUGUGCCAGAAUUACUUAGGUGAUUGGAAAUGUAAAGCAUGAACUCAAAUCUGAAGGUAGCUGUCCAAGAGUCAAGAGUUACUGAUUUUGCUGAGAAAACAAUAUAGAAAGAAAAAUAAGAUUAAAGUAAUUUUCUUAAGAAAUACCUACAUUUAAAGAAUAAGAGAAAGAGGUUAGAGCAUGAAGAGUAAUCGGAAACAAUCCAGGAGAGAAUAGUACCACAGAAACCUUUAAAAAUAAUUUCAAAUAAAAGGAGUACUGAUACUGUACAUUAAGAUUGGUUGCAGCUUACAAAAGCUACAUAUUCUAUAUAUGGAUUUAUAUGAGGCUAUAGAAAAGAUAAAACUACAGGGACAGGGAACACAUCAGUGAUUGCCAGCGACUGUGGGUGAGGGUAAUUACUGAAGACAAAGGGAAAGCAUAAGGCAAUUUUUUGAAUUGAUGACUGUUCUUAUCAAUAUUGUGGCUGUAGAUCAUGAACCGAUGCAUUGUUCAAAACCCAUAGAACUGUACACAACAAAGAGUGACUUUACCAAUUGUAAAUUUAAAAAAAAAAAAACAAAAAGAGAGAAACAAUAGAGUCAUUGGUUUGCUGACUUAAAAAUGUAUAUUCAGAAUGUGGAAGAUGAAGGGUAUAUGGUAAAGAAAUGGAAGCCAUAUGAAUUCUGUUUUCAAAACGUUUCCCAGUUAAGAAGAAAAAAAAAAAGACGGUAGCUUCAGGACAUACCUCAGUUGAUUAAAGAAAGGUUAUUUAAAGAGAGGAAACUUGGAGAUGUCUUUCAUAGAGGUUAAAAAAGAACAUACAUAUUCAAAGGAGAGUAAAUAAUUAAUAAAGAAAAUCUUUGAGGCCAUUGGAGGUAAUGGAAAGACAGCAAGAGUCUUUUUUUAAAUAUACUUACAAGAGGGCAAAAGGAGUGGAGAAUGAAUAUAGAUAGAAUCAUUCUAAGGGAUCAUCACUUCAACAUGAAUCUUGUUAAAAGGUUGUUCACUGGAAUUUGAGAUGGAACUAUAGCAAAAUCUUGUUUAGCCGGGUCCAAUGUACCUUUCUUAUUAAUAAAGUCCAAAUAUUCAGGUUUCUUAACCUCCCAAAUGCCCUGCCCUCUUAUGAGUCCCAAAGUGCAAGUGUUGAUUGGUCUAAACCAAUGGCUCUCAGUGUAUGGUCCCUAGACCAGCAACAGCACCAUCACCUGGGGAUUUGGUAAGCCCAGAGAUCUGUGAUUUUAAAAAGCCCUUGAUGUGAUUUUGAUCUACCGUAAGCUUUAAGAACUACUGGUCUAAGCCUAAAAGUAUACUUCCAUUUCAUCUCUUUAUGAUUACACAUGAGUAUAGCAUUCAAACCCAGCCAAGGAAAAAAACUGGGAAGAUUGCUCUUUGUUAUUGGUGAACGAUUUCUUUCUGACAAGAGACACCCAGGGGUAAUUAGCCUUUUCUGCUUUUGGAUGAUUUGUCGUAUGUGGAUGUGAUAUUAAAACCGCAGUGCGCGCGCACACACACACACACACACACUCACCUUGGGGAGGAAACAUAAACAUAAAAGCCGAUAUGUUGCAUAUGGUAGAAUGAAAACUUGGAAGGCACCUGGGUUCUUGAUGACAUCCUUAUAUCACUAAAAUUUAGUAAACUUAAAACUAUCUAUAUCUGGUAAAUUACUAGUAAGUUAAUAAAUGAUCUCAUUGUUUAAGCCACUAUUAAUUGUGGCAUCUUAUGCUUGCAGCCACAGGCAUCAAAACUGAUAUGAAAAAUAACAAGUUGGUUCUGUUACAUUCUCCAGCAUCUUCCUUCCUAUAAAAAUAUUCUAGUUAAUAGGCUGGGCGCGGUGGCUCACACCUGUAAUCCCAGCACUUUGGGAGGCUGAGGUGGGCGGAUCACGAGGUCAAGAGAUCAAGACCAUCCUGGCUAACACGGUGAAACCUCACCUCUACUAAAAAUACCAAAACUUGGCUGGGCGUAGUUGUGGGCCCCUGUAGUCCCAGCUACUCAGGAGGCUGAGGCAGGAGAAUCUCAUGAACCCAGAAGGCGGAGCUUGCAGUGAGCGGAGAUUGUGCCCCUGCACUCCAACCUGGGCGAAAGAGUGAGACUCCAUCUCAAAAAAAAAAAAAAAAAAAAAAGUAUAAAUUUUGUAUGCCUUUAUCAAUAAAUGUUUUAAUCAACAAAUAUGAGAGUAUCGGCAUCAUCUUUGCCUAGACAGAAGUGCACAAUCUGAAACCAGAUAUCAAGAUAUUUAUCAAGUCAUUAUUAUCAUGAGAAGUGGUGUUUUUGGCAAACAUAGCAGCCUAAUUCCACAAGUAUAUUAACAUUAGGAUUUAAUUUACCUGGAAUACAAAAGCAAUAAAAAAAGAAGGAAAAUGAGGAUGAUGAAGAAAAUAUACUUAAAUUUUUAUAAUCCUUGAAUAAUGAUGAAUAUGAAUUUCAUUAUAUAGUUAUCUUAGUUUUUGUAUACUUAAAUUAUUUUAUAUUAAAAUUAAAAAAUACGUCAAAGCAAAACAAAGAUUAAAAAAGGAUCGAAAAAUACAAAUGCAUGAAAACAAAUUUAGCUAUUUUAUUAUAAGACAAAUGUUAUUUAAAGCAAAAAUAAAUUCAGUUACAUAAUAAAAUAAUCUUUCAUAAUUAAAAUGUAUACAUAUAGAAGCAAUAGUUAAAACAUAUACAACAAAUGCUGAUAUGAUUAUAAGGAGAAAUCAAGAGAUUUGCAUCAUUGGAAGAUUUUUAACAUAUCUCUUUAAAAAAUGAUCAAAAACACAAUUAGGCUGUGAUUAACUUAGCCAAAAAUAUUACUUCAAAUAAAUAGAUUUGUAGAGUAUAAUGCAGUCAGUGGAUAAAAUAAAUUCUUUUAAAAUAAAUAUAAAAGGUUUAGAAAAUUUGAUGUACUACCAAGUAAAUAAAGUAGCAUACCAUUACGUAAAUUUUAAAAAUAUGAAAAACAAUCAUAUACAAUUUAUACUAUCAUAUAUAAAAGUAUAAUAUUUGUGUUAAAAAUUGGGAAUGAAAAUUUUAAUAUCUAAUUUCAGAGUUGGGUUGUUUGAAGUGCUUGAAAUGCAGAGUGGUUAUCCUUGGUUACACAGGGGGCCAGUGGGAAAAAUAGUGGUAAAACUCACAUUUGAUUUAUUGGAUAUUUUUUACUAUUAGUUAAACAUAAUUUUACUAUAAUGGAAGUAAGGUUGCACAAUGUAAUUUUAUUACUUCAAUAUACCUACAGUUAUUUACAGUAAGUAUAAAUUUCUGUAAAUGAGAAUGUGACAUUCUCUUUCUCCUCUGCCUCUCAUUUCUUGUUCUCUUUCCUAACAAGAACAUUGUGUUAAGAUUAUUUUAAAUUUAAUGGGUCUGUAUUUGUGAAUUACAAUGGUCAAAUUGUAUUACAAACAGGCAGAAAGUAAUUCCAGUUAUUCGUAUUUAGAGAAAACUUUUUCAUGAACAGAGUUAAAAUUGUGAGCCAGGAUUUAACUACUAAUGUCUGUGAACAAGACCUGUAUAUUGCCACACAUUCCCUGAAGGUAUUUCUAAAGCAGUUUUAUCUACUCUAAAGUAGGUGACAUAUAUAAUGAAGCCAGGGAAAAGGAUAACCUAAUGUUUGUGGUUGUCAGAUGAUUUUUAGAUUUAUGAAAUAUCCCAAAUCAAGCACUUUAUAUUUUUAAUAUGUAUCAGAAGAAAAUUCUUGGAUUUAUCUUCUGUGCUAAUUUAUAUUGAGUCUUGCAAUAUUUUAUUUAGAAUGAUAGUGUCUGACAUGAAUGUCUUCAGCUUUCUAAUUACUACUAAUACUCUCAAAGUGAAUGUAGUUAAAUCCAAUUAUAUAUCUAGUUACUGAAAUAUCAAUAAUAAACCAUAUAAUGCUUAUUUCCUUUGUUAACUGGUAAAUUUAUUUUACUAAAGCUUACUUGAGGCAGCUAUUAAAUAGAUUAAUGAAUCAUAAUUGUUAAAAUUUAAUUUUUCAAAUCUAAAUAUUUUAUCAUUAUAGAAAUGUUCUACUUUUGUCAUGUGUCUACUCUGUGAAAACAUUGUUCUAAACUGUAUAGUAGCUAGAGAGGAGAGGGAUUGAGAAAUCAGUGGUAAAGAUGCAUAAGAUAGUCUUGAUGCUCUUAGGAAUUGCCUGUGCCCAGCUGAGGGAGACAGGUAAAUACAAGUGAAAGAUGCUCCAAUAAAAAAUAUAGUAGAGAAAUGGGGUUUACUUCCUGGAAGAAUCAGGGAAGGAUGAAGUGACAUUUGUGCUGGAAUCCUGACAGAUGAGUGAGAACUCAUCAGGAAAAAGGGAAGUGGCAUAUUACAGAUAAGUUAAAAAAAUAGUUUUAGAAAACUUAAUCUUGUAUGAGCUGUUAACAUGCCUAGAAAUUUAAACGGAUAUAAUACUUUCAUAGUAAUGAAUUUUUAACUAUCUGCACAUAUUUGCAUAGAGUUCACUGAUUUUAUUAAAUGACAGUACACUCAUAUGAUGUGGAUAAAUACAAAUACAUGACCAUAUAAUUUUAGUAUCCAAGAUGUUGCCAACCCUAAAUGAUGGGAGUGAGGAUGCAGAAUUCCCUCAGCUUAGAAUCUCUCAUCUUUAUAUUCUCUACCUGUUCUAUCAUCCUGAUUUAGGCAGUCCUUGGAACUAUAGUCUCUAUUCAACACAUUUUUGAAAAUACUAUUCUAUUUUCAAAACAGUCCAACCCCUUCAGUAAACUGAGUAUUAUUUUGCAUGAUAUGCCACAAAAUUUUAAGAAAAUUUGAAUCACAUUUUCUUUACUCUCAGUUUAAUGUUACUUUCAGUGCUUCUUGCUGCAUCAAUGUUAUCUUAUAGUAAUUAGAACUAAAUAGGUAUAAAAAAAUCAAUUUACAUUCUGGAGAAAAAAGAAGCUAAAUGACUCUCUCUGUAAAGUUUUCCUUUCAUCUUGGUGAAGUCCCUUCAUUCAUUGCUUAAAGAUUAAGUUUUAACACUAAGAUUAACAUUCUAACCCAUUUAGUUAGUUGGAGGGAAUUUCAUUCCUGCUUAAAUUCAAGUAUUUAAAGCCUCAAACUACUUAAAAUUAAAUUGGCCCCGUAGAGAAAGCACAUCACCAUAAGUAUUACUUAAAGAUGUUAUCAACAUUCAGGAAUAUAUCUUAAUUGGUAAUGACGAAAAAUAAUAAUAAAAUUUUAAAUGCUAUUUCUGUUAUGUGGGAAUUUUCUAGUUUUUUGGAUGUUACAAUUAAAUAUCCUUGCUUAGUAGACAUUUUUAUAUAUCUCCAAUGUUCUCAAAUGUCAGGUCUAUCAUGUUUCAAAGGCAGUCUCCUGGGUUGUGUUGCCUUGACAACAAAUCUUGGUUUUGUUGUUCUUGUUAAGUUGAAUUCUUGGAUUCUGAGAAUUUAAUAAAACUCUUGCUGGAUUCAAAUCAAUGACCUUUCUCAGAGCCGUAAAAACAACUGAUCAUUCACUAAACCAUUCAUCAAGUUAAGAUAAAUAUACCUGUUAAUAUUUGUGCUCCUACUCAGUUUGGAUACAAGUCAAAAUAAUUUGACAAAUAUUAUUUUUAUCAUUAUUUUAUAAGAAUUAGUAAUUUACUUAAAAAAUUAGCAAUGUUAUUUCUAAGGGAUACUAAUUUGAAAGAGGACUUGUCUUUCAAAGGAUUUUAUAUUCAGAAAUGAGUAGACUACUUUAAAUUAAAAAGUAGAUCAGACAUUUAAUAUCUAGAGUUUUUCAAAAAGGAUGGGUUUCAACAAUUUUAUAAAGUUUGAACCUGUUAAGCUAGGUUUUAAAUUAUUUGAAUGUUUUUUGAAAUUUCCUUCUCUGUCUUGUCAUUAUGAGUUAGAUUUUGUUCCACUUUUAUUUAUUUCACAUAAGGCUGAUAUUUCACAAACUUCAAAUAAGUCAUAAAUUAACUAUAGCAUCAUUUGCAAAUCUUCCAUCUUUCUGGGGUUACCAUGCCUUUUGAGAUUUAAGCAAAAUUGAACCAAACAUUCAUUGAUUUUUCACAAGAUACAGAUUUUUUUUUUUUCCAGGAAACAGGCCUGUGUACUUGCAAUUGCUCUUCUAGUCAUUUCUUAUGCAAACCUGUUCUUUUUGAAGCACGUCAACUCAAUGAAGAUAGUGUUGACUGUAAUUCUUAGCAGAAAUAUAUAAUAUAUAUACACAGAUAACCUGUAUAUAUCUAUAUAAGUAGAUAUAUAGAUUGGAAAUAUUGCAGAUUUGAUUCCAUACCACCACAAUAAAGUAACUAUUGCAAUAAAGCAAAUCACACACAUUUUUAGCCUCCAAGUGAAAAUAACACGUUUAUAUGAUACUGUAGUCUAUUAAGUAUGCACUAGCAUUAUGUCUAAAUAAAAUGUAGACAUAUUAUUUAAAAAUACCUUAUUGGGGCCGGGCAUGGUGGCUCACACCUGUAAUCCCAGCACUUGGGGAGGCCGAGGCGGGCGGAUCAUGAGGUCAGGAGAUCGAGACCAUCCUGGCUAACACGGUGAAACCCCCUCUCUACUGAAAAUACAAAAAAUUAGCUGGGCGUUGUGGCGCACAUCUAUAAUCGCAGCUACUGGGGAGGCUGAUGCAGAAGAAUCACUUGAACCCAGGAGGCGGAGCUUGCAGUGAGCCGAGAUUGCGCCACUACACUCCAGCCUGGGUGACAAAGCAAGACUCCCUCUCAAAAAAAAACCUUAUUGCUAAAAAAAAAAAAAAAAAAAAAAAAAAAAAAUGCUAAUGAUCAUGUGAACUUUCAGUAAGUCAGAAUCUUUUUGCUGAUGGAGGGUCAUGCCUCGAUGUUGAUAGCUGCUGACUGAUCACAGUGGUAGUUGCUGAAGGUUGAGGAGGCUGUGGCCAUUUUUAAAAAUGAGAUAGCCAUGAUGUUUGCCACAUUGGUUGACUCUUCUUUAUCUUCUUUUUUUUUUUUUUUUUUUUUUGAGAUGGAGUUUUGCUCUUGUUGCUCAGGCUCGAGUGCAGUGGUAUGAUCUUGGCUCACCGCAACCUCCGCCUCCUGGGUUUAAGCGAUUCUCCUGCCUUAGCCUCCUGAGUAGCUGGGAUGACAGGCACCUGCCACCAUGCCCAGCUAAUUUUGAUUUUUUUAGUAGUAACAGGGUUUCACCAUGUUGGCCAGGCUGGUCUCGAACUCCCAACCUCAGGUAAUCUGCCCUCCUCGACCUCCCAAAGUACUGGGAUUACAGGUGUGAGCCACCAUGCCCGGCCAACUCUUCUUUCACAAAAUAUUUCUCUGUAGCAUAUAAUGCUGUUUGAUAGAACUUUACCCACAGUAAACCCUUCAAAAUUACAGUCCUUCUCUUAAACUCUGCAGCUGCUUUAUCAACCAUAUUUAUGGAGUAUUCUAAAUUCUUUGUUGUCAUUUAAACAGUAUUCUCAACAUCUUUACCAAAAAUAGAUUCCACAUCAAAGAACCAUUUUGUUUCCUUUUUUUGUCAUUGAAUGUAGUGGCAAAAAUCACAAUUCUGCACCAACGUACUCAGUCACAUCUUGAGGGUUCACUUCUAAUUUUAGUUCUCUUGCUGUUUCCAUCACAUCUGCAGUUACUUCCUCCACUGAAGUCUUAAGCCUCCCAAAGUCAUCCAUGUGGAUUGGAAUAAACUUCCUCCAAACUCCUUUUAAUGUUGAUAUUUUGACCUCUUCCCAUGAACCGUUAAUGUUCUUAAUGGUAUCUAGAAUGGUGAAAGCUUUCUAGAAGGUUUUCAGUGUAUUUUGCCAAGGUCUAUCAAAGAAAUCACCAUUUAUGGCAGUUAUAGCCUUACAAAGUGUAUUUAUUAAAUAAUAAGACUUGAAAGUUGAAAUUACUCUGAUUCAUGUGCUGCAUAAUGGGUGUUUUGUUAGAAAGUACACAAAUAAGGAGAUUUACAAAUCCCCUUGUACGUCUCUAUAAGAGUUCUAGGGUGAUCAAGACCGGUAUCAAUGAGCACUAAUAUUUUGUUGUAUGAGCACUACAUCUCAACAGUGGGCUUCAAAUAUUUAAUAAACCAUUGCUGAAAACAGACGUGCUGUCAUCCAGGCUUUGUUGUUCUAUUUAUAGGCAAAAUAUUUAGCAUAAUUCUUAAGAGCUAGGAUUUUCAAAAUGGUAAAUGAGCUUUGACACCAACUUAAAUUUAUGUUUCCCCCUGAAAAGGAAGUGAGCCUGUCCUUUUACGGCAGGCACUGACUUCUCCUCUCUAGCUAUGAAAGUCCUAGAUGGCGUCUUCUUCCAAUAUAAGGCUGUUUUAUCUGCAUUUAGAAUCUGUUAUUUAAUGUAUCCACCUUCAUCUAUGAUCUUAGCUAGCUAUUCUAAAUCAGGGGUCCCCAACCACGGGGCCAGUUAGGAACUGGGCCACACAGCAGAAGGUGACUUGUGAGCAAGCAUUACCAUCUGAGCCCAGCCUCCUGUCACAUCACCAGCGUCAUUAGAUUCUCAUAAAAGUUUGAAUCCUAUCGUGUGAACUGCGCAUGCAAAGGAGCUAGGUUAAGCACUCCUUAUGAAAAUCCAAUUAACUCAUGAUGAUCAGAGGUAAAACAGUUUCAUUUCAAAACCAUCCCCACCCCCAUCUUUAGAAACAUUGUCUUCCAGGAAACCAGUCUCUGGUGCCAAAAAUAUUGGGGGUGGCUGUUCUAUACAGAUAACUUGCUGCAGCUUCUACGGGAGCAUGUGCUGUUUCACCUUGUACCUUCAUUUUGUGGAGAUAGCUUCUUUCGCUAAACUUCAUGAACCAACCUCUGUUAGCUUCCAACUUUUCUUCUGUAGCUUCCUUCCCUCACUCAGCCUUCAUGUAACUGAAGAGAGUUAGGGCCUUACUCUGGGUUAGGCUUUGGCUUAAGGGACUGUUGUGACUGGUUUGAUCUUCAGUGAUGUUCCAGAUCACUGAAACUUUCUCUACAUCAGCAAUAAGGCUCUUUUACUUUCUUACUGUUCAUAUGUUUACUGGAGUCGCCCUUUAAAAAAUUUUUUUAAGCUUUUCCUUUGCAUUCACAGCAUACUUAAUAGGCACCUGAGGCCUAGUUUUGGCCUCUCUCUGAUUUCAACGUGCCUUCCUUUCUAAGCUUAAUCAUUUCUAGCUUUCAACUGAAAGUAAAAAAAAAAAAAAAAGUGUAUGACUCUUCAGUUGAACACUUAGAGGCCAUUGUAGGGUUAUCAAUUGGCCUAGUUUCCAUAUUGUUGUGUCCUAAGUAAUAGAGAAGCCUGAGGAGAGGGAGAGAGACAUGGGAACAAGUGGUAGGUGGAGCUGUCAGGACACAAACAACAUUUAUUGUCUAAGCUUGCUGUCUUAUAUGAGUGUGGUUCAAGUUGCCCUAAAACAAUUACAAUAGUAACAUCAAGAUCACUGAACACAGAUCACCAUAACAGAUAUAAAGCAGUAAAAAUUUGGAAAUAUCUAAAGAGUUACCAAAACGUGACACAGUCAUGAAGUGAUCACAUGCUGUUGGAAAAAUGGUGCCAAUAGAUUUACUUGAUGCAGUGUUGCCACAACAUUUAGUUUGCAAAAAAAAAAUAUCCGUGGCAUGUAGUAAAGCAAAGUGCAAUCAGACAAACUAUGCCUGUAUAUAAAAAUUCAGUGAUCUAUAUCCUGAAAACUGAUGCACUUUAUUAAGCUAUGCACCCCAAGAAAAAUUCAAUAAAAAUGAAUUUAUAUUUCUUAGUAUCCUCAUUUUAACGUGUUCUUAACUGGCUUUAUUCAAUUAAAAAAGAAAAAACCUUAGUUUGUUGAUUUAGUUAUAUUCUUCCAAAUCAUGGAGCUAAUACAUAGCUUAGUUUUAUUUUUAUUGUGUUUUAGCCUUGUCUGGAAACAAAAAUAGUUGGAAUGAGAGUUAGUUUAGAAUGAUGACAAGAGAGCAAAAUACAUUCCAAAAAUUUUCAAAUAAUUUCCAAAUCAUUGGAUUCUAAAUUAUCACCUGGCCUUAUUCUCUUCUGCCUGAAGGAACUAGUCUUCAUUAUUUCUUCCCAUUAGGGUGGAGAUAAUUGGUGUCAGCAAAGUGAACUAUCAACCAUAUCCCCUCCUUAUUCUUCUAAGGUCUGAUUAAUUAGUCCUGAGAAGAAAUAAUAUUUAAAGUUUUCACAGGAUAUUUUUAUUUUAUAUUUUAUAUUGUAUCCAAAAAUUAUGGUACUUUUCUGAACCUUUUCAUACAUUCCUUUAUAUGUAACUUUGCAGACUUUUGCUACUUUAUGAUGAAGAGACUCCAGAGGAAACAAAUAACACAAGCAGAUAAUCAAUGAGAAUUGAAUGAAAGGACUGUUUACACACUAGUGAGCAAGGGGAACCUUAGGGCCAGCACAGUGGGAGACUUUACUGUCCCUAAACUUAAGGAGCAGAAGCCAUGGGAUGGAAUCUGAAAGGAGUGAUGGCAUUGGUCAGAUGUAUACAAGCAGAGCUAAGUGGUUGUGCUCAUUGUGCUGUAUCCAGUAAUCACUGAUACUCUCUUUGCCCUGAAUCAAUAUAUUUCAAAGAGGAUACACUGACAUUUUAAAGUAAAUGUAAUAUCUCAAAAUCUCUGGGCUGGGGCCCAAAAUCUUGACUUUAAUAAUCCACAUAGAUGUGUUUUGCAGAAGAAGACCGUGUUUGGAAAACUGCAGUCAUCCUGGGAAACUUUUUAUUCUAAGAUCUUUUUGGUUCCCAUCAUCACACAUACCAAUGCCAUGAGUCAUUAUUGCUAUAAAAGUAUCACUUUCCAAGGUUCCUGAGUUUACCACCCUCAUGUACUUACAGGGUUUUUAUAACGAUUAUAUUUUGAGGCAAAUGGUAUUUGUUCCUCAACAAACACAUUUAUUAUAUAGAAUUUUAUGGAAAUACUGCUUCUCUGUUUUAAUAGUUUAAAAUCUUUUGUGAGAUGGGAAAGAACUGUUGUUUCAUUUUAUUAUAAUGAAAAUAAAUUAGAGACAAAAAGCCACCCAAAAUUUCCUUUAACUUGUAAAUACUGGUUACUAUUCCAAUUUUAAUAUAUUAGAGCCCCCUACCAACAUUUCUGAAGCAAAAUUAAUCUAUUGAAAUUAAGAUCCCUUUUUCUCCCAAUGAAGUUAAAAACUAACAAUAUGUAAGAAACAAAUUAGACCAAUGAGUUCAAGGAUUUGAGUGUAAGGAAUGACUUCUGUUUAAGUUCUAUUUUGUUGGCUUUGGAAUAUUUCUGCUACAAAUACUACACUGUAGCACCUUGUUAUUUUAAUAUAUGUCUUUGUUAUCAAAAAAUUAGGCAUUAUAAAAUGUAUUUUAUCUUUUAUAUAGUCCAUUUCACAAAAUAGCCAUAAUGUUCUUUCAAGUAAGGAUUAUGGGAAAUUAAAUGCUCUUAUGUUUAAAAUAGAUAUUUAUAUCCUCUGUAUCAUUUAUUAACUUAUCAGAAUCAUUUUCCACUUUAAGAUCCAAAGUAUACUUAAUAAUUAAUAAUAUAGCUUUUGCCAUGCUUUUUUUAAACCUUAGUCAAAAUAUAGUAACUUAGAUUUUUUAAUAUGUUACUACAGUUUUAAACCAGUAUUGGGAAUGCUUUGAUAUUGUAAUGUCUACAAUAUAUUUGGGGUAAAGUGUUGAGAGAAAUUAGAAGAUGGAAUUUUGGUAUUUUGGAACUAGACUGUGUGGCCAAGCAUAUAGAAAUGCAGAAUGUUGCCAGACACAGUGGCUCACACCUGCAGUCUCAGCACUUUGGGAGGCAGAGGUGGGUGGAUCACUUGAGGUCAGGAGUUCCAGACCAGCCUGGCCAACAUGGUGAAACCCCAUCUCUACUAAAAAUACAAAAAUUAGCCGGGCAUGGUGGUGCAUGCCUAUAAUCCCAGCUACUCGGGAGGCUGGGGCAAGAGAAUUUCUUGAGUCCCGGGGGCAGAGGUGGCAGUGAGCUGAGAUCAUGCCAUUGUACUCCAGCCUGCGCGAUAAAGCGAAACUGUCUCAAAAAAAAAAAGGAAAGAAA
Molecule: long non-coding RNA, 16527 nt
Organism: Symphalangus syndactylus (siamang)
Lineage: Eukaryota; Metazoa; Chordata; Mammalia; Primates; Hylobatidae
Source: RefSeq, a predicted model, not a curated record